RNA transcript from Triticum aestivum (bread wheat), 7089 nucleotides. RefSeq lists it as uncharacterized. Lineage: Eukaryota; Viridiplantae; Streptophyta; Magnoliopsida; Poales; Poaceae. The record is from RefSeq and is a predicted model, not a curated record. The transcript has 17 exons.
UUUUCGAUUUCUGGUCUCUCUCAUUGAAUCCAAGCGCCCCAACCACAUCCAUCUCUCUCUCUCUCUGUCUCUCUCUCUCCUGCGACUCCUCACCACCGCCGCCGCCAUCGCAAACUGCGCCGGCUGAUUCCGGCGACUCACGGCGGCGCGCAGCACACAUCCGUGCUCGCUUCGCUACACUCCGUCCUCUCCUCCGUCCAGAUUCGUCGCUCCGCUCCCAUCCCCUCCUCCGUGGCUAGGCUAGGGUUUCGGCCUCCCCAUCUCCGGCCACCGGAGCCCCUUCCUUCCCCUUCUCCAGCCGGCGGACGCCCCUCCCCUCCCAUCCCGUCAUCAGGAGAGGAGAGGAGAGGAGAGGGAGAUCCAGCAGGGCAGGCCAUGGCGCCGGCCAGAACCGCGCCGGGACUGAACUGGACCAAGAUCGUGUCGUCAGGAAACCAACCCCAUGGAGCUGCUCUCUGUUGCUCCUCCAGGUUGGCAGGCAGGUGCACUGAUUAUCCAUCACUAGCAGCGCCAUGGACCAGCUAAAGAUCUGAUCAACACAGCUCGCUAUAUAUCUUGGAGCAAAAAGUUUUGGAUGCAGACAACCGUGCCGUGUUGGUUUCUUCAUAGUACACGUGCUGCCAGCCGUGUAGGUUCCACUCUCCCAGCCAUGUGAUGCCAGCGAUUUCGCUCGCCACGCUGUGAAUGCGGCGGUGGCGAUACCCGCCCUCGGCUACAACUUGCACUAGAUUUGGCCUCUGGAUGGAUGCUAUGGUUCCUGUAAUGUUGCUCUGUUGGUUCUUAUUCUUCAUUAGGUUCUCUCAAGCUGGAUAUUGGAGGACACUAAAGGCUGCGGUCAUGGGCCACAUUCUCUUGCGGAACUUUCUUAUUGGCUUCAUAGCAGCAAUCUCCAGGAUCUUUCUAUGGAAUUCAAGGGUUAUGUCUUCAAGAUCAUGAGUGGUUGCAAUAAGCUGGGCUUCCCUAUGAAGCAAGAAGUGCUAACUUCUGGUACGCCAUCUGCUUCACAGGGGGCAACGGUGGUGGCCAGGCCAUGUGGGUCCAUUUAUCUUGUUGUGGUCCAUGAAGGGCAACGGUGGCCAGGCCAGGCCAUGUGGGUCCUCAGGAAAGGAAGGAAUGGAUCUCCUGUGUAUCUAGUUGUUGAACAGGGCUGAUUUGUACAACUGAACAUGCCGUCGAUUCUGCUCACGAUGCUGUGACCGCGGCGGUGGCGAUGCCCGCCCUCGGCUACAACUUGCACAGGAUUUGGUCUCUGGAUGGAUGCUAUGCUUCCCAUGAUGUUGCUCUGUUGGGUGACUCAGUACACAUGUUCUCUCAAGCUGGAUAUUGGAGAACACUAAAGGCUGCGGUCAAUGGCCACUUUCUCUUGUUGAACUUUCUUAUUGGCUUCAUAGCACCAAUCUCCAGGAUCUUUCAAUGGAAUUCAAGGGUUAUGUAUUCAAGAUCAUGAGUGGUUGCGAUAAGCUGGGCUUCCCUAUGAAGCAAGAAGUGCUAACUUCUGGUCCGCCAUCUGCUUCACAGGGGUCAACGGCGGUGGCCAGACCAUGUGAGUCCAUUCCUGAUGUGUCCUCCCUCGCGUUUCUUGCACGGGCAGAAUUACCUUGGCGGGUAGAGCAUACGACGAAAAAGGUGCGGCGGCGCUAGAGUGCGGCCAGCUGAUCGAGGGAGCUUGGAACGAUGCUCGGUGGAAUGUCGUUAUGAGCGUGGAGAUGCUGCUCCGAAAUACAAAUUCUUCUUAAAGGGAAACUAAUAUAGAAGUUAUUGUAAGCCGAUACACAGUACUGGAAGUGGUAGUAUGAGGGAAAUCAAGCACAUUUCUGAUGGGGAAGAAAAAAGUGACUCUCCAUAAGGAAAGAAUGGAUCUCCUAUGUAUUUAGGUGAUGUUGGUUCGUUAAAUAUAUACCUUUACCUUUUUUGUAAUAUAAAGAGUUGCAUCUGAACCUGGUGAAACGACUUGAGAAUAUAGAAUAUAGGGUCGUGCAUGAAAUGAUGUUGAAUAUGUCAUCUUUUAUUUUAUUUUGAACACGAUGCUGAACUGGUUCUCAUUGCACUCAUGUAAAUUGUGUCAUCUUCCACAAUGUUGGCAUGUGAUCCAAAUAAAUUGCACACCCUAUAUUUUUUGGCAUUUUUUUGACAUAAGAUCCUUCGUUUCAAACAAAAGUACACUCAAUAUGUGUAUUCUGUGCCGAUAGUUAAUUCUUAUGCCGCGUUUCAUGCCAAAUUUCAUUGAAAACAAGCCCACCAAAGAGUCGUUGAGUUUGAACAAGUCGAUGGUAUACACAAAACAUAAUGACUUGAAGUACAAUGCAUAAUAGAGUGAUGCACCGACAUAGUGGGCUCUGAUAAGUAUGCACACGACAGGAUGACAAGGCACCGAAGAAUAGAAGUGGUGGUUGCCUUGCAAAGGGAAACACGGAAAACACGACUUUUGCCACGAGGCAUUAAAAACAUGGAGUUAGGCACCUCUAAUUAAUCUUCCUCGAUAUAUUUUACUGUUUCGUAGUAGUGCACGGGCAUCGACCUAGUAUAAGUGGCCGACCCCUUAGUGUGUUCGCAAUUUCUGGAGGUGUUCCGUGCCUCAAAAGCUUACAUGAUCAAUGUCUGUGUGGAGGGUCUACAUGUGCAUCCGUCUCCUAGGAUUUUGCCUCCUUUGUCUCGUGAUGAUCAAGCCAGCGAGGAUAGCAAGAAUGGAGAAGAUACUAGCCCACCAUUUACUAAGGAUGAGUUGGACGCUCUUGGAUCCUAGACUCCAGCCUCUGUAUCCAAACCGUGUGCCUUGGGAUGUGUGGCUCUGAUGGGGCUAAAGAGGGUUCCGUUGAUCAUGUGGAUUUUGUUGUGGAUGGGAUUGUUUUACUGGAUUCGUUGGCAAGCCCGCUGGUGUCUGCUAGUUGCUCUAAUCUUCCUACCCGCCCUUUGUCUCCCUCACUGUCUAUGAUUGUUGGUUCCCAUAAACAACACCUUUGCACCCUGAAGUUUCUGCCCCUAUCCCCAAGAAAAAAGACUUCGGUCAAGAAAUCCCCCCCUCGCAGUUGUCUUUCUGGGACCUCAAAGCAAUCUUCUGAUGGGCUGUUCCGCAUGCUUGAUGCUUAUCUAGGUGAGGUUGUUGGUGGUGACCACAGUGAGUAUAUUGCGACGUCUCCCACGACACGUUAUACAGCUAUGAAGACUCUUGUUUCUACUGCUCGCAAGAGUAGGCGCCCUUGCAUUGUUGGUGAAUCUGUUCUGGUGUGCAAUGAACGUCGUGCUGCAGACGACCUUGGCUUGUCAGUGAUCAUUGAGCAACUUGGCCAAGAACUCGCCCAACCUGAGGGUGGCCCACAUCAUAAUCAAAGAAGAUGGUGGUGGAUGAGACCGGUGCUGCUUUUGUGAUGAGCAAAACAAAAACUUGGUGGUCGCCGGCCGUGGCCUCCUACGCGUGCGCAGCCGUAGCCUUGGCUAGUGGCCUCGGCUACAACUUGCAAAGGGAGCUCCCCCCUUGCUCUGAGCACAUGGACAUCGAGCCAUGGCUAUUUUACACCAGGUUUAAUGUCCAUGUCUGGUUAUGGUUUGGACUGGUGGUACAGUCAUGGCAUAAUGACUCCAGGUUAUGCUUGGAUGGAUUUAAUCUUUCUAAAAUAUGAGAUUUUUUGUAAAGAGCUAGUCUUGUAGGGUUUCAAUUGUCUAAAGAUUGUGGUUUUGAGAAGAUUGUUACCUUUCUGGUUUUAUGGCUGAUGUGGUCAGUAGAGAUCCAUGCGUGUUGUAUUUCCUAGUGGUGAUAUGAUGAACUAUAGAUUUGGAAGUUUGCUUUGUACAACUGCACUAUAGAGUUGGAUGUUUUUCGUGGUUGCGUGAUGUCGAUGAUGAUUACUGUGAAGCUUUCUCAAUGUAAUCACUAAUGAUUGCAUAACCUACUGCUUUCCUUCUGAGGCAUAAUGUCCCUCUCAAUUCUUCUCUCUUGAAAUAGUGGUUUUGCGUGAUCCCUUGUGACAGAAAUUAUUCAGACUUCAAGAUGCAAAGGUAAAACAAUUUUUGAUGCUGCUGUUUAGGUUAGAUAGUCACACUUUUAUUUCUGUCAAUUGCAUGGCAUGGUAUCUAGACUAGGUGUCCUUGAUGUUCUCAAUAUAUUCAUGCCUUUUUAUACCUUGAAUGAUCCAUCAGCAUCCUGUAAAGACUAGUCUCACUGAUGGUAAUAUUUAUAAGUAUACAUGUUAUCAGAACACACAAAAUGAACCCUGUAUUGCUUUGUUCAUUUCAAUUUCGUGUAUUGUGCUAUUGUUUUACUCCGAGUUGGCCUGAUCCGGUUUUUUCCACAAAUGCAGGUGCCAUUGUUGUUGAUUCCAUUGUUCAUGGCCAUCUGAAAAGCUAAGGAACUGUUCAAACCUUGAAAUAAACUUGAACACCCUGCAGUUGUGUAAUUGAGGAGCCCCAUGACAUCAACAAGAAUGACGACGAUGAUGCGGAGGAGGAGGACCUCAACUACACACCACACAAAGUCCCUAUUGUUUGUCGGCAAUGGCUUCCUUGCCUGCAGCAGGUAGCAUUCGGUUACUGCUGCAAAUGCCAACGGAAGAAAAUAUACAUAUGAAAUGCUACACUUGCACUCAGGAGUGUGAGAAAUUUUGCCCAAUUUCAUUGCCAUGUUCAUCAUGUCAUUUACCCACAAAUUAUCAGUUAUUUUAUGCUAUAUGAAGUUGUUCCUCUCUUGAUUUUUCAUGGUAGACGGAAUUGUAUGAUUUCGGAUAGUACUUUAUCAAAUUCAAACCAUACAACAUCACCCACGUCCCUCUAUGCAGAGCAGUUUGCAACUGAACCCAUCUCUAGUACUGGAUCUCCAGUACUAGCUUCUUUCAUGUGCCCUUGAGUAUCCAGCUCAACUGAUUCAAGUUCUUGGACAAUUAAUUAAGCACUAUAACAAAUUAAUGAAUGCCCUCCUUGUUCUUCUAGCUAGUAUACAUUACUACUGGAUGGUGAUCAAUUUUAGCCAGCCAUUCUUCCAUGCCCCCUCUCUCCACCCACUCACUUGAUAAUCUCCCUGCACCAUCAAUCCAUCUCCUUUAGCAACUAGCUGUUGCAAAUGGCACCAGAUUUAAUUCUGAAUGUAUGCUUAGUUAUUCAGCAUGCUUGAAGUCCCAGCCUUUUGUGUCUGGUCAGUUAUUUUCGUAGCUCAUAAUAUGCUCAACUUCUCAGGAAAGUAAUUGACGUUUUAGCGUUAUGGUCACCGAGUUUCCUCUUGUUCAGUAGGCGAAAGGGAGGUUAUAUUGAAACGCUAUACUGGUGCCCUUGUUGAAAUCGAGUGCCCAUGUUGUGUGAUAUACAAUGUUGCUGUGUUGUGUCUCUUGUGUGGCCUAGUUUAAUAUUAUGUUUGUAUUUCUGUUUGCGGUUGUGUGCUAGAGUCUAAUUAGUUACGUGAAUAGUUAACUUUAAGAUGUUGAUGUGUCAUAGAAAAGAUGAUUUCUUGUGUUGUGUACUUUCGGAAAUUAACGCAAUGCUAAAUGUAUGUAGGCUUAAGAAAUUGAUCAAGGUAAGCCAUUAUAUCUCUUUGCUUGUUUUUUAAAUUGUCACUAUGUCGGAUAAUUAUUUGAUUGUGAAGUAAUAGUUCCUUGCUUUUGUCUAGUAUUAAGAAACAGUUUGUUGAAACAACCAUUAGUCUCUCCUAGCUACAGAAACUGCCUAUAUGCAUUUGCUUAGGCUUGGAGCCUAACUCAUGUCUCGGGCAUGAACUCUCCCUGCAUAAUUAUUUCUUAUCCUGCCUAUCAGUCGCUGCAAGGUUUUUUGGUAUAUGUGUGUAUAACUGAUGCAAAGCUAUCCAAUCAGAUCUUGGUCUUGUGUGUAAAACAAUCAAUCCUUCUGUUGUGUGUAAUCAAUGUGAAGCAAUGAAAUAAACUUGCUACAUGUUGCUUACGAGGCACCAUGUAGUUUGUUUGUUUGAUUUGAUUUGUUUGUUUGUUUGAUUUGGAGCAGACCUGGACCCCAUGCCCAAGCUCACGAGGUCACCGUUGAGUCCGACCUCCACCUCGAUCAUGACGACGACGACCCGCACAAGGUCGAUCCCUACUUUACCACAAAUAUGUUCUUUCUUUUGUGAAGUAACAGUUCCUUGCUUUGUGUAAUGUUAAGAAACUGUUUGUUGAGACAACAAUUAUUCUCUCCCGGCUACAGGAACUGUUUAUAUGCAUUUGCUUAGGCUUGGAGCAUAACUCAUAAAUCAGUUACCUGUUUUGCGUAUCCUAUGAAUUUGAGCCUUAUCUGUUUGCUAUUUCUCCAUCUCAAAUCUCCAUCAGUAAGCUAAAAAAAGACUAGCUAGCUAAUCCUCUGUAAUUAGCUUGCUUCCCCCAUCUCACGCUGAAACCCUAGCUCUUCCCUUGGUGACGGAGAGGCUCACAUCAUGGAUCCUCUCCUCGAAGACAUCAACGGCCAAGGAAGGAGAAGCUGCUGCAUAGGUGCCAUCCUGUAGCCAUGGACGGCACUCAUAGCAUGUGCGAAGUCUGCUCCUUCCCCGCAUGGCUAGUUAGCACUUCUCCCGCCCAUGGAAGCAGCAGGCACCCUCCGCCGAUGACCUGGACCCCAUGCCCAAGCUGACGAGGAGGACAUCGUCGAGUCUGACGUCCACCUCGACCAUGAUGACGCCCCGCACAAGUUCAACUACUUGGUCGGUUGCCACUACUCUCUGCCUGAUGACCGGUUAUGGGCGAUCGGCAGAACAAGUGAGUUGACACUAGGUUACUUCCCUGUAAAAAACGAUCCCGCCGGAGGGCGGAGGCUGUCCUGGAAGGAGGCCACACAUGAGUUAUGAGGACCAUAUGCCUAGGUGGAAGCAGUCUUGAGAACCUUGGCCAAAACAAGGAAGUUUGAGAAGGCUAGUGGUAUGAGGAACAACCAUGGCUUCAAGGUUUAACUCAUGUAUGUGUACCAUCCAUGAUAUGCACUUACAUCCGGAUCUCUGUUGGUCUAUGCUUGUAGUUCCGACUUGAGCGGUAUGCCGUUUCCCAUCACACACAUGGAGCGGUCUUGUUCUUUUUGUUAUAUGUUGUGUAUGCUCGCCUCAUUCCUGAAAUUCCAACUACAUAUAUGUGGUCUGUGUACCAUCCAUGAUAUGCACUUACAUCCGGAUCU